This 982-nucleotide ribosomal RNA is filed under the name Levilactobacillus brevis. Its description in RNAcentral is "bacterial SSU rRNA". It matches the Rfam family "Bacterial small subunit ribosomal RNA", at positions 45 to 1015 of the family's 1533-position model. Lineage: Bacteria; Bacillati; Bacillota; Bacilli; Lactobacillales; Lactobacillaceae. The record is from RNAcentral.
AGCUUCUGUUGAAUGACGUGCUUGCCCUGAUUUUAACAAUGCAGCGAGUGGCGAACUGGUGAGUAACACGUGGGAAAUCUGCCCAGAAGCAGGGGAUAACACUUGGAAACAGGUGCUAAUACCGUAUAACAACAAAGUCCGCAUGGAUUUUGUUUGAAAGGUGGCUUCGGCUAUCACUUCUGGAUGAUCCCGCGGCGUAUUAGUUAGUUGGUGAGGUAAAGGCCCACCAAGACGAUGAUACGUAGCCGACCUGAGAGGGUAAUCGGCCACAUUGGGACUGAGACACGACCAAAAUUUUUACGGGAGGCAGCAGUAGGGAAUCUUCCACAAUGGACGAAAGUCUGAUGGAGCAAUGCCGCGUGAGUGAAGAAGGGUUUCGGCUCGUAAAACUCUGUUGUUAAAGAAGAACACCUUUGAGAGUAACUGUUCAAGGGUUGACGGUAUUUAACCAGAAAGCCACGGCUAACUACGUGCCAGCAGCCGCGGUAAUACGUAGGUGGCAAGCGUUGUCCGGAUUUAUUGGGCGUAAAGCGAGCGCAGGCGGUUUUUUAAGUCUGAUGUGAAAGCCUUCGGCUUAACCGGAGAAGUGCAUCGGAAACUGGGAGACUUGAGUGCAGAAGAGGACAGUGGAACUCCAUGUGUAGCGGUGGAAUGCGUAGAUAUAUGGAAGAACACCAGUGGCGAAGGCGGCUGUCUAGUCUGUAACUGACGCUGAGGCUCGAAAGCAUGGGUAGCGAACAGGAUUAGAUACCCUGGUAGUCCAUGCCGUAAACGAUGAGUGCUAAGUGUUGGAGGGUUUCCGCCCUUCAGUGCUGCAGCUAACGCAUUAAGCACUCCGCCUGGGGAGUACGACCGCAAGGUUGAAACUCAAAGGAAUUGACGGGGGCCCGCACAAGCGGUGGAGCAUGUGGUUUAAUUCGAAGCUACGCGAAGAACCUUACCAGGUCUUGACAUCUUCUGCCAAUCUUAGAGAUAAGACGUU